UCAACCACAAAAGAGAGGUAUUUGAUAUUUUCUCCUGUAAUAUGUGAAAUUAUACAAUCUGAUGCCGUUUCCUGUAAUCCGCAUAGCGCCACUGCACAAGGGCAGCUGUUCAGUCUCAUGCUCAAGAACUGAACUGGUACCGGUAUAAUAUUCCAGUGGAUCAUCGCUUGAACGCAGUGUGGCAAUGUGAUUAUCAACGAUUAAUUUCGCUUAUUAUAAUUUAUUGCAUCAGUUUUUGGGGACGACUUGGAAUGCUAGAUAAUAAACUGAAUACAGUUUAUGUGACCGAACCGGACAAGUUUUACGACAUGUUGUUGUCUGGAAAAUGCCACGUGCAUUCUUGGGACAUGUUUUCCGAAGACGUUGUCCAAAUGACGUACAGGAAAGAAGGUGGUUUUGUGGAUCAGAAUCCAAACACUAAUGUCGUCUUGCGGCGUUUACAACAUGUUGGGCAAGACUGCAUUUAUACAAAUUUAUAGACAUGGUCAAGGAUCGUUUGCUGUACUUUGACACAGACUCAAUUUUUUUUGUCUCGAAACCCGGACAUGUGGACCUUCCAACUGGUUGUUUCCUAGGAGACCUAACGAACGAGCUUAAACCUGGUCAAUAUAUUACACAGUUCAUUAGUCUUGAAGCCAAAACCUACUCGUACGUCACCAACGACGGCGAAACAGUGGCAAAAGUCAAAGGAUUCACUUUGAAUGGACGAACGAUUUUUGCUGCGUUUGUUGUCACUGAAGGCAUUGGAAAAAUUAUCCAAACCGACCACUGGAACAACACUAUACGAAACCGAACAGCUGAACAGUUUGACGUUUCAACUGUUAGCAAAAAUGCGACGGUUGGAAUUCUGGGAACUGUAUAGGAAGGAGCGCUUAUUUCAACCAUUUAUUACGGUCAUGCCAAUGGUAGCAUAGCAGACUGGAACAGUUCUCCUAGACGUAACUGGUUUUCCAAGAUUAUUUGUCGGUGCAGCACAAAGCACGGUGUGGAUUUUGAUUUUGAAAUUACAGAAAUUUCAGCAGUGAAGUAAAAACUACACUACGAGUGUUUUGUUCCACGGUGAUUCAUGUAUAAAAACUAACCGGUUCUGAUAACCUCCACUUGUACAGAGGUAAACCGUUAUGAUUACCUCAGCUAGUACAAUUGUAAUCGGUUUUGAUUACCUAGGUAAUCCGUUUGGAUUGCUUAGGUGAUCGGUUUGGAUUACCCAGGUUUUCCAAACACAACCAUCCGAUCAUAAUAGUUGGCUAACGCGUGCGGGUAGUGGGCGGUGGCUGUGCUUCCU
Long non-coding RNA from Paramacrobiotus metropolitanus, 1285 nucleotides. RefSeq lists it as uncharacterized. The transcript has 6 exons. Lineage: Eukaryota; Metazoa; Tardigrada; Eutardigrada; Parachela; Macrobiotidae. The record is from RefSeq and is a predicted model, not a curated record.